RNAcentral lists this transfer RNA (71 nucleotides) under Hippocampus ingens. RNAcentral describes it as "tRNA-Trp". It matches the Rfam family "tRNA". From Rfam's summary of the family: Transfer RNA (tRNA) molecules are approximately 80 nucleotides in length. Their secondary structure includes four short double-helical elements and three loops (D, anti-codon, and T loops). RNAcentral also lists the same sequence under 1 other name. Lineage: Eukaryota; Metazoa; Chordata; Actinopteri; Syngnathiformes; Syngnathidae. The record is from RNAcentral.
AAGAGUUUAGGUUAAUAAAAGACCAAAGGCCUUCAAAGCCUUAAGUAGAAGUGAAAAUCCUCUAACUCUUG